CCUACGGGUGGCAGCAGUGAGGAAUAUUGGUCAAUGGACGAGAGUCUGAACCAGCCAAGUAGCGUGAAGGAUGACUGCCCUAUGGGUUGUAAACUUCUUUUAUAUGGGAAUAAAAUGUUCCACGUGUGGGAUUUUGUAUGUACCAUAUGAAUAAGGAUCGGCUAACUCCGUGCCAGCAGCCGCGGUAAUACGGAGGAUCCGAGCGUUAUCCGGAUUUAUUGGGUUUAAAGGGAGCGUAGGUGGUUUGUUAAGUCAGUUGUGAAAGUUUGCGGCUCAACCGUAAAAUUGCCGUUGAAACUGGCAGUCUUGAGUACAGUAGAGGUGGGCGGAAUUCGUGGUGUAGCGGUGAAAUGCUUAGAUAUCACGAAGAACUCCGAUUGCGAAGGCAGUUCACUGGACUGCAACUGACACUGAGGCUCGAAAGUGUGGGUAUCAAACAGGAUUAGAUACCCGAGUAGUC
This 460-nucleotide ribosomal RNA is filed under the name uncultured bacterium. Its description in RNAcentral is "partial 16S ribosomal RNA". It matches the Rfam family "Bacterial small subunit ribosomal RNA", at positions 338 to 795 of the family's 1533-position model. The record is from RNAcentral.